RNAcentral lists this ribosomal RNA (430 nucleotides) under uncultured bacterium. RNAcentral describes it as "bacterial SSU rRNA". It matches the Rfam family "Bacterial small subunit ribosomal RNA", at positions 355 to 776 of the family's 1533-position model. The record is from RNAcentral.
UCGGGAAUCUUGGACAAUGGGGGAAACCCUGAUCCAGCCACGCCGCGUGGGUGAUGGAGGCCUUCGGGUUGUAAAGCCCUGUCAGAGGGGAAGAAAGGGUCUUGACCUAAUACGUCCGGGCCUUGACGGUACCCUCAGAGGAAGCACCGGCUAACUACGUGCCAGCAGCCGCGGUAAGACGUAGGGUGCAAGCGUUGCUCGGAAUCACUGGGCGUAAAGGGCGUGUAGGCGGCUUGGUAAGCGGGAUGUGAAAGCCCCCGGCUCAACCGGGGAAGCGCAUUCCGAACUGCCUUGCUUGAGUCCGAGAGAGGGUGGUGGAAUUCCCGGUGGAACGGUGAAAUGUGUAGAUAUCGGGAGGAACAUCUGUGGCGAAGGCGGCCACCUGGCUCGGUACUGACGCUGAGACGCGAAAGCGUGGGUAGCAAACAGG